RNAcentral lists this ribosomal RNA (759 nucleotides) under Cellulosimicrobium sp. I22A. RNAcentral describes it as "bacterial SSU rRNA". It matches the Rfam family "Bacterial small subunit ribosomal RNA", at positions 83 to 860 of the family's 1533-position model. Lineage: Bacteria; Bacillati; Actinomycetota; Actinomycetes; Micrococcales; Promicromonosporaceae. The record is from RNAcentral.
UGCUGGGUGAUAAGUGCGAACGGGUGAGUGAACACGUGAGUAACCUGCCCGGACUUCGGGAAACUCCGGGAAACCGGGGGCUAAUACUGGAUAUGACCGUCCUCGCAUGGGGUGGUUGGAAAGUUUUUCGGUCAGGGAUGGGCUCGCGGCCUAUCAGCUUGUUGGUGGGGUGAUGGCCUACCAAGGCGACGACGGGUAGCCGGCCUGAGAGGGCGACCGGCCACACUGGGACUGAGACACGGCCCAGACUCCUACGGGAGGCAGCAGUGGGGAAUAUUGCACAAUGGGCGCAAGCCUGAUGCAGCGACGCCGCGUGAGGGAUGAAGGCCUUCGGGUUGUAAACCUCUUUCAGCAGGGAAGAAGCGCAAGUGACGGUACCUGCAGAAGAAGCGCCGGCUAACUACGUGCCAGCAGCCGCGGUAAUACGUAGGGCGCAAGCGUUGUCCGGAAUUAUUGGGCGUAAAGAGCUCGUAGGCGGUUUGUCGCGUCUGGUGUGAAAACUCGAGGCUCAACCUCGAGCUUGCAUCGGGUACGGGCAGACUAGAGUGCGGUAGGGGAGACUGGAAUUCCUGGUGUAGCGGUGGAAUGCGCAGAUAUCAGGAGGAACACCGAUGGCGAAGGCAGGUCUCUGGGCCGCAACUGACGCUGAGGAGCGAAAGCAUGGGGAGCGAACAGGAUUAGAUACCCUGGUAGUCCAUGCCGUAAACGUUGGGCACUAGGUGUGGGGCUCAUCCCCGAGUUCCGUGCCGCGCAACGCUU